This is a non-coding RNA of Maylandia zebra (zebra mbuna), 851 nucleotides long. NCBI's taxonomy places the organism in Eukaryota, Metazoa, Chordata, Actinopteri, Cichliformes, Cichlidae. The record is from RefSeq and is a predicted model, not a curated record.
UUUUCCGACCUGUCCUUGCCUUGGUGACGUUGUGAACAUAACCGAACGGGACUUGGCCAUUAAGGUUUGGAUCGGGAAAUGCCGAGCUAGAAUCGGAGUUUGAUCCGCUGAGCGAGAAACAAGAUGGCGAGCCACCCACGGACCCAUUGAACUGUACCGAGCAGGAAAAAGGAAAACGCCCCCUGCUGGACGUUGAGCUCUUUCGCUGAUAAAACUGGUAGGAUUAAUCCAUACACCUCUGCAAAAGAACAGCGGACUUUUCAAAGCACUGGAUAAUCAUUCGGAGUAAUUCCAGGACUAAUAGUUAAAGGACACAAAGACAACUUUCUUUUGUUUAUUUGUUUGUUUAAGGGAUUUAUUCAGCCUUUUGCUGAAUUGUUUUCAGUUUUACAUUUAUUUAUUUAUUUUUGUAAUUUAUUUUGGUCAACCUUACAUUUUAAUGCUGUAAUGGUGUUAAUGGAAGUGUAAAUAAUUUUGUUGGGUUAAAACAAAAUAAGAACUGGUUGAGAAUUUAAAGGUGAACCUAGACCAAGAUUAAAUUAAAUCUUGGGCCUAAAGAACUGAACUUGAUUUAAAAUAACACAGUGUUAAUGCAAAUAGAUCAAAGGAUAAACUUGAACUUAGAACUUGAAAUAAAUAAAACAAUAACCUAGGUUGAGAAUAACAUCCUUCUAAAGCCAAAUAAAAGGUUUUGAGAUAAAUAGGAUGAACUAACAGAACAUACUGAACUAAGAAGGGGAAAGAAAACAUCUUGUUUUCCUUAAAUGUGUGAUGUUGAAUGUUUUAUGUAAUGUGUCUAUAACUGUCUAUUCUCUGUCUUCACAAAAUAAUAAGCCGGCAAUUUAAACGUA